Molecule: non-coding RNA, 1204 nt
Organism: Punica granatum (pomegranate)
Lineage: Eukaryota; Viridiplantae; Streptophyta; Magnoliopsida; Myrtales; Lythraceae
Source: RefSeq, a predicted model, not a curated record
UGUCUCACUAAUGGCUGCAGUCACCCGGGGGGGGUGGGAAUUCUACGGGAGAGGUGAGAGGGUAAGAGGGUGCCGGAAUUUUCUACUACUGGCUAAAGCUUCUUCUACCGGCUUUGCUGCUGCUGCUGCUCCACUUCGCUCUCUUCUCUCACCGAUCAACUGGAAUGGCACGGAAAUUCUUCGUCGGCGGCAACUGGAAAUGUGUAUGCCAGCACCCCUCAGAACCCCCUUCGUCUCCUAAUGGAACUCUCGAUGAAGUGAAGAAGAUUGUCUCCAUCCUUAAUGAAGCUGAAGUCCCUCCCGAGGACGUUGUUGAGGUUGUGGUGAGCCCUCCUUUCGUGUUUCUUCCACUGGUGAAAAGUUUACUGCGAUCCGAUUUCAGUGUUGCUGCACAAAAUUGUUGGGUACGCAGAGGCGGUGCAUUCACUGGAGAGAUUAGCGCUGAGAUGCUUAUCAACUCGAACAUUCCGUGGGUCAUUGUCGGACAUUCCGAAAGGAGACUGCUUCUGAACGAAUCUAAUGAGUUUGUUGGUGACAAAGUUGCAUACGCACUUCUUCAAGGCUUAAAGGUGAUUGCCUGUGUUGGUGAGACUCUUGAGCAGCGUGAAUCUGGAUCUACCAUGAAUGUUGUUGCUGCACAAACAAAAGCUAUUGCAGAUCGAGUGUCACAUUGGGAGAAUGUAGUUUUAGCUUAUGAGCCUGUCUGGGCCAUUGGCACGGGGAAGGUUGCUACCCCUGCUCAGGCACAGGAGGCACGUCCAUUCAGAAUUGAGGAAGUGGCUCCAUGAUAAUGUUGGUCCAGAAGUAGCUGCUUCAGUAAGAAUCAUAUAUGGAGGGUCUGUUAAUGGAGCAAAUUGCGAAGAACAAGCAGCCCAGCCCGAUGUCGACGGGUUUUUGGUUGGUGGAGCUUCUCUGAAGCCUGAGUUCAUCGACAUAAUCAAAUCUGCCACUGUGAAGAAGAAGUGACUGAAGACCGUAAAGGGCUAUGCAUUCACCUUCUGUCAUGUUAAUUAAGUGCUUUCAAUAGUGGAGUUCCUCAGGUCUGUGUAGAUGAGGAUUUCAGUUCUGAAACGGUUUUUGUUUGAAUAAGUUGCUGUCAGAUAAGGCUAAGACUAGGCAGAAAAACUGUGUGGUCCGAGGAUCCUAUGCCACUAUCAUAUCAUAUGAAUAUUUGCUUAUGAUGUCUCACGAGGUUUCUCCCCCA